ACGUAGGGUGCGAGCGUUAAUCGGAAUUACUGGGCGUAAAGUGUGCGCAGGCGGCACCGCAAGUCGAGUGUGAAAGCCCCGGGCUUAACUUGGGAAUUGCGCUCGAAACUAUGGUGCUGGAGUGUGGCAGAGGAAGGUGGAAUUCCAGGUGUAGCGGUGAAAUGCGUAGAGAUCUGGAGGAACACCGAUGGCGAAGGCAGCCUUCUGGGCCAACACUGACGCUCAUGCACGAAAGCGUGGGGAGCAAACAGGA
RNAcentral lists this ribosomal RNA (253 nucleotides) under uncultured prokaryote. Its description in RNAcentral is "partial 16S ribosomal RNA". It matches the Rfam family "Bacterial small subunit ribosomal RNA", at positions 525 to 777 of the family's 1533-position model. The record is from RNAcentral.